GCACUGUCUUUUCCUGCUGCCUUGUAAAGAAGGUGUCUGCUUCCUUUUCACCUUCUGCCAUGAUUGACCCCACUGAAAAUCGGACUGUUCAACUCACCUGGCAGCCACUUCCAGAGCCCCUGGAACUCUGGCCCAAGGCUCUCUGACUGACACCUUCCCAGAUCUUCUAGGCUUAGCAGCUGAAGACUGACACUGCCCGAUUGCCUCGGAAGCCUGCAGGACCAUCACAGAUGCUCUGGGUAACUCUCACAGUGGAGGGACCUGGACUAGAGUGAGACCACGUAGGUGCCUAUGGCACAGAAUAUAAGUGAGAUCCAUGUACACAGAUCCACUUACUCAGAGAUGUGUCCAAGGAACCUUAUUUGCCUCACCCUAAUCCUGACCCUUCUCUGGAAUCUGUUCUCAGCCUGCGAUUUGUUUUAACAAAUAGAAUGUGUUGGAAGUGACGCUGUGCUAGUUCUGGGUCUAAGUCUUAUGAAUGCCUGGAAGCCACUAUUUUGUGCUCUUGGGAAUCUUCAGUCUUCUAAGAAGUCCAGUCAUACUACUGUUGAGAGCACAUGGAGAUACAGAGUGGACACUUCAUGUGGAAUGGGAGAAGCUCUGAGACUACAGGAGCAGAGGAAGAUGCCCAGCCUUACUGGCAUCCCAGCGCCCAGACGACCUGCCAGCUGAAUGCAGUCAUAGGAGUGAUCACUGGCAAGACCAGCUGAGCCCAGCUCACAAACUAGAAUCGUGGGCAAAUUAAAUGGUUGUUGUUUAAAGCCACUAAGUUUUAGUGUGUUUGUUAGGUAGCAAUAGGAAACCAGAACAGAGACCAGCCCUGUCUGCUGUGGAUGCUCUGAUGGUUUAAGCAGCUGAUAUAAAUCAUGACAAGAAAUAGCAGAGAAGGGAAUAACAUGAAACACAGCAGCAGGAAGCCUGGAAAUAUCUGUGAGAUUUCCUUGCAGGUUCCUAGAGUCAGGUGGGCUAGAGGUCUGGAUGCUUAAGAGUAGAUGGGGUCAAAGACCAGAAAUAGUGUCUUGUCACAAAGUCACUCUUUAUCACUAAUCAGGUUUGUCCUGGGGGCCACUUAUCUAAUAGUGCUAUAUACAUGCACGUUGGUGUUACAACCACAAAAGAAAAAAAAAUGACAGGUCAGGGAUCUGAUUGAUUGUUCAACAGAGCGCAUUUAUGGUGCUUGGCCUGUGCAAACAGACUUACGAGCAGACAGGCUCAGACCCAUCAGAGAUUGAGCACAAUAGCUAGGAUGCAAAUCUCUCUAUAUGAAAUGUCUCAGCCCAUACAUACAUGGAUAUGGUGCUGAAAGCACUAGGACCCCUGAGCCAACAUAAGCACAACCUAGGCAUCUUGCAAUAUCUAAGCUUUGGGGACUCAGUUCUCCCCUGCUGUGAUUAUAUGCCUGGCUCUAGAAGCAUUGUGCAAAUUAUAGGACCUGGAGAGUCUAAACUGUAAAUGAAUGCAAAUGAAUGUGGCCUCCCAGGAAAUAAAAAUACAGGCUCAUUAUUUUGUUUUUCAGUCCAGAAAAGAACACACUUUGAAAUGGCAGUUUCUGGCAAGAAUAAAAUAAUAUUAAUAAUAAUGAUAGCUCUGCCCAAGUCAAUUUUCUACAAAUGGCAGUCUGAUAGGUGCUGGCAAAGUAAGGAAACAUCAGCCGAUCUUAAGAACAGUGACCUCCAGGGAACUUGCCAUGAAUCUAUCAUCACUGAGCCUUUUACCAGCAGCAUUUAUUUAGCCCGUUUAUUCCACAAGGUGGUGGGGACACAACUGUACCCCUGGUAUAGGCACAGAAUGCAUUGUUAAAGGGUGGGUAAUAUAUAAGGUGAUGUAAAUAUGUUCCAUUUUAAACACAUCCAAAUUGGCCAAUUUCCUUGAUCUUUAAAAAUAAUUUCAAAGCACCAUGGUGAUGGAAACAUUUUGUUAUCUUUAAAAUGCAUAGACCAGAUUCAUCUUGGAGAUGGCUAUACUAUUAGAAUAUUUUAUGGAUGCCAUUUCUGCAGGCUACUGGUACUAGGAGAACUUAACAAACGGUGCCAGGAAUGUUUGCUGCGUUUGCUCAGCUAUUCAGGUUGAUUUCCUGGGGUCCUUGCUACAGGAGAUUCCAGUUUAGAGGUGAUCCUCCUGGGCUGAGGUCUCUUAUGAGGUCUCUAUCCCUCUAAAUCUUUGUUCAAAGCUUACCUCUCUUAAUUAGGUCCACCCAGACAACCCUAUUCAUACUCAAACCUGCUCCAGAAUCCCUUGUGUUACUGAUCCUCCUAUUUCUGCUGUAUUGCUAAAUCAGUGAAUUAUUUUUUGUUAACUACAAGUGGAAUGCAACCUCUAUAAGGACAGAGGUUUUGGUAUUUUAUUUCACUGAUGUAUCUAACACAGUGCCUGAAGCUCAGUAAAUGUGUGGAAUAAAUAAAGGAAUGGGUGCAUCUUUGUUAAGGCACUUUAUUUCACUGAUAUAGAAAUCUCAUCUUCUGAAUGGGAAUGAUUAUUUUUGUUUUCAGGACCUGUUACCUGCAUAGUCAAAAAUGGUUCAGUGCAAGUCCAGUUCAUGUUGGGUGAGACCCAAGGAGGUUUGCUUUACAUAUACAGGCAUACUUUUGAGAUGUUGUGGGUUUGUUUCCACACCAAUGCAAUAAAGUGAAUAUGGUAAUGAAGCAAGUCGCAGGAAUUUUUUUUCCCAAUACAUAUAAAUGUAGCCUAUUAAGUGUGCAAUAGCAUUAUGCCUAAAUAAUGUACAUUUCUUAAUUAAAAAUACUCUAUUGCUAAAAAGUGCUAACGAUUAUCUAAGCCUUCAGCAAGUUGUAGUCUUUUAGCUGGUGGAGGGAGAGAGAAGGGGAAAUGGCUGGUUGGUGGAGCCGUCAGAACACACUCAACAUUAAUCGAUUAAGUCUGCCAUCUUAUGUGGGCAUGAGUGAUGGUGCCCCAAACCAUAAUAAUAACAGCAGAGAUCACUGAUCACAGACCACCAUAACAGUUAUAAUAGUAAUAAUAAUAAAUCUGAAAUAUUGCAAGAAUUAUCAAAAUAUGACACAGACAAGAAGUGAGCUCAUGCUGUUGGAAAAAUGGUGCCGACAGAGUUGCUUGAUGUGGGGUUGCCACAAACCUUCAGUUGGUAAAAAUAAAAAAAGCAAUAUCUGUGAAGAACAAUAAAGUGAAGCACAAUAAAAUGAUAUAUGUUUUUAAUCCCAAUGAAAAACUUCAUAUAAAGUGUUACUGAUAUCGGAGUUCAGCUUCUUGAUUUUCAACAUGGAAAUUUUCUCCAUAGAUGUUCUAAAUGUUAGUUCGCAUGUGUACCGACAUAAUAGGUUUGAACUCAUAGAACUCAUUCACACGUGUUGAAUAUACAUUUAUUAAGAGUCUACUGUGCAUUAGACACUGGGUUCAGUCUGUAGAUGCAGAAAUAAAUCAAUUGUCAUUAUGUGUCCUUAAGGAGCUCACAAUGUGGUACAAGGCAAAGACCUGUGCAAAUAUACACAGCAAUGAUGGAAUGCAACUGUGCUUCAAAGGAGGCCAGGAGCAGAAUGCUGAAGGAGCAAAGAGAAAGAAGCCACGUGCUCUGCUUGCUGCAGAAUAGAUGAUAAAUGAACUUCUUCUUGGAGGAUGAACAGAUACUUGCCAGGUAGUCUGUGCGAUGAUGAAAGAAAGACCAGAGGAAAAGCAUUCUGGGCAGAGUAGAUCUCAUGGGAAAGGAAAUGAGAUGGUCAAGGGACACUGGCACUUUGAUUAGAACACAAUGUUUUACAGAAUAUUGAAUAGAUUGAUAAAGCUUAGUUAUUGGGAAAGGUCUCUCUGAAUCACUGGUCAAAGAAACCACAUGCCUUCUCAGACUGCAAGACAACUCACUUAACUAUGAUGGAAUCUUCUACAGAAGCACUUGCUUAGAUGUGGUUAUGUUAUACCCAUAUGCAUGUAAUGCUUUUGCCCAGGUAGCUCCAUGUUCUCAGCUUGAAAGAUGCUGUAUCAAAUAGGUGUAGUGUCUGCAAAUAGUAAAAAUCAGUGAUAUCUUCUAGAACAACCUCUUUGGUAAGCUUCCAAUAUAUCUGUAUGUGUGCCUAUAUAUAAAAAUAUAUAUGAAUGACUUAAACACACGCAUGCACAAACCCACACUUAAGAAGGUUCAAAUUAAUUAGAAGUUUUGGUCCUAUAAGAAGGUUGAGAGUGCUUGUUAUAUUAAUGAUACAAAAGAUGGUUUAGCUGCAACACGUGUUAUCAGAAGUCUCCUCAGGGCUCUCUGAUUUAACCUAGCUGGCUAGCAGAUGAAACCUUCCCCUCUUGUAUUUCCAAAUGCACCUUCUCACUGGGACUUGGACAUGCCCAGGAGUUUGCAAUGGCUGUUCCUUCCACCAGGAAUGUUGUUUACCCCGAUGUCCACAUGCAUUGCUCCCUUAUUUCCUUUUAAGUCAUUGCUCAAAUGUCACCAUCUCGUUGUGGUUUACCUUGACCAUUUUAUUUAAAAUAUAAAUUAUUUUCCUACACAAUUGGUUGCCUCCCUGGGGCUCUGACACUCCCGAUUGUCUUUUCUGUUCUCUAUUUUUUUUUCUUUUUCAUAGCAGUCAUUCUCAAAUUAUGUGUUUGCAGGGUUGCUUCACGACCUGCUGAAGGGGAAGAGGUGGGGCAGUGGAAGAGAUAGGGUCUAGAUCCCCAGCAUUUAUUUUAAAUUAGCUCCUAUUUUAUAUUAUUUGACUCAAGGGCAUAUAUCAUGUAAAGUGUUCUGAGCCUUUAAAAAGUUAGAAAAUGACUGUUGUAGAUGAAAGUACACAGAACUAAAUUCAGGAAACUUAGAUUCCAGUCCUGUAUCUUUUACAGACAAACUGUGUGUGAACUUAUGAAUGUCAUGCACUGACUUUGUACCUGUAAGAUGAUGGACAAAAUCAUGGUCUCUUGGUUCUAUUUGAAUGGAGUUUUUCUGUGAUUCUGAAUAGUUAAACAUCCUCCCUGCUGCUACAAAACAAAGACAUGGAGGCUCCUGAAAAUGGUAAUGAAUAUUAGAGCAAGAACUGACAUUAUCUAGUUAUGAGGAGAUGCAUUCAUAAAUAAUAAAAGGAAUGUUCACAUAUGGACCAAGUGUCUAAAUAUAAAUACAAAUACAAGUAUAGUGAUGGGAAAUAGAGUGGAAACUGGAUGCUAAAAUGUGAGAAGAAAGGUCAGUUGUGACUACUUGGAAACAAAUAUAAGAUAAUAUAGGAUUUUUGGCAAUCCAGAGAAAAUAACUGAGGGCCUGGCUUUUCACAUAUUAAUCUGAUGAAGGCUAAAAUCAUGCUGUAUGGCCAAAGCCAUGCAUGUUUUGAGACUCAUCUCACAGAUAUAUCCUACCACACUAGUAAGACCUUAAGAAAUUUGGACCAUUUUUGCAUUUGUGCUUUUAACAUCAAAAACAACAGCAGCUUCUCUUCAGAAUGUCCAGUUUCAAAGGAAACUGGAUAUCUUCUGACACAUCCCAGGAUCCCUGCUAGCAGCUGUCAGGGACAUCCUAUUCCAAGUCUAGAGCACAUCGUAAUGAACAUGAGCCUUCUUUGAUGGAAAGGACAAAAGAGAAAUCAAUAGAGAGUAACUUGAAACACUAUAGACUUUCCUUGUGUUUGUGAUAUGUUCAAAAAUUCCUGUCAGC
Molecule: long non-coding RNA, 5596 nt
Filed under: Homo sapiens (human)
Lineage: Eukaryota; Metazoa; Chordata; Mammalia; Primates; Hominidae
Description: HSALNT0382809
Source: RNAcentral